Molecule: non-coding RNA, 7926 nt
Organism: Podarcis lilfordi (Lilford's wall lizard)
Lineage: Eukaryota; Metazoa; Chordata; Lepidosauria; Squamata; Lacertidae
Source: the annotation of a GenBank genome assembly
CGUUGCGGCAGCGACGGAGUGGGUGAAAGAACAAGUGGGGAACAAAGGUAGUUUGUUGUUUUGUUUCCAUGCUCUGGAUCAGGCCAGGGAUUAUCUGUAUCAUCAUCUGCUUAUCUUUACUCCACUUUCCCACAAAAUGUAGCCAGAGCGACUCCCAAUAUAUCAAAACGAAAAAGUAUGACCAUUUUAAAAAGUAUUAGAAACAACUAAAAUCAAUAAGGCAAUGAAUGGGGAAGGAAUUCCAUGGGGUCACCUUAAUUCAGCCUCUGUCAAGAGCUGCUACGAUUGCUAAAUAACCUGAAAGAUUAUUGCUUUGUGCCUUUGACAGCAGCUUGUUCUGUGAAGUCACACAGUGAAACUUCAUUUUGUAAGAAGAUACAUGUUCCUAUCUGAUAAUGUCUACAGAUACAAGAGAGCAUAAUCAAUGCUGCAAGAUUUUAAUCUUAAUUUUAAAAAAUUAAUUAAAUUUUUUAAAUUUAAAUUUAAAUUGGCAAGCAGUUGCAGAACCUCAAACUGAUUAGCCAGUGCCUCUGGAUGGAUCAGGCCAGGGAUUUUCUGUAUCAUCUGUAUCUUUAUUCCACUUUCCCACACAAUGUCGCCAAAGUGACUCCAAAUAUAUCAAAUGAACGAGUAAUAUUCAAAAAACUUAUUAGAAACAAUUAAUCCAAAUAUCCAAAUAUCAGUGAGUAAAAAAAAAUUUAAAACUAUGCAAUCAGCUUAAUUCAACCUCUAUAAGAAGCUGAUCUGAAAGACAUUUGCUUUGUGCCUUUGACAGCAGCUUAUUCUGUGACAUCAGCAGGUGAAGCUCCUUGUGGUGUGAAGAGAAACAUUGACACCUCAUAAUGUCCACUGAUCAAGCUGCUCUUUAAAGCACAUAUAUGAAAAGCCGUAAGUGAUGGUACAAAAUGGUAACUUUAUUAUUUUUUUUUAUAAUGAUAUUUAUUAAAGUUUCACAAAAAUACACAAAACAAAGAAAAAAGAAAAAAGUACAGCAAAAAAGUAGAAAAUAAGAAAAAACAUACAAAAUAAAACAGUUAAAAACACAAUAAUGUUCCAUAACCUAUCUUCUUUACUCUUAUUUCCCCGGACCUCCUCAUACCUCCCUUCUUUGUAUUCCAAUUCCAUUUGUUGGUUCAGCAAAUCCUUACCAUUAAUCUUUUACCCAAUUUUUAACCUUUUCUUUUCCAUGUCUCUUAAAGCAUUACAGCUAAAAACCUCUUAGUUUCUAUCCAACAUCCUUCUAAAGUUCCUUAAUUUUGCAAUAUUUCUGUAAAUAGUCCUUAAAUUUUUUCCAGUCUUCUUUCACCGACUCUUCUCCCUGGUCUCGGAUUCUGCCGGUCAUUUCCGCCAAUUCCAUGUAGUCAAUCACCUUCAUCUGCCAUUCUUCCAAAGUGGGUAGAUCUUGUGUCUUCCAAUACUUUGCAAUAAGUAUUCUUGCUGCUGUUGUAGCAUACAUGAAAAAAGUUCUGUCCUUCUUUAGCACCAGUUGGCCGACAAUGCCCAAGAGAAAGGCCUCUGGUUUCUUCAGAAAGGUAUAUUUAAGUACCUUUUUCAGUUCAUUAUAUAUCAUUUCCCAGAAAGCCUUAAUCUUUGGGCAUGUCCACCAAAGGUGAAAGAAUGUACCUUCAGUUUCUUUACAUUUCCAACAUUUAUUAUCGGGCAAAUGAUAAACUUUUGCAAGCUUGACUGGGGUCAUGUACCACCUGUAUAUCAUUUUCAUAAUAUUCUCUCUUAAGGCAUUACAUGCCGUAAACUUCAUACCUGUGGUCCAUAACUGUUCCCAGUCAGCGAACAUAAUAUUAUGUCCAACAUCUUGUGCCCAUUUAAUCAUAGCAGAUUUCACCGUUUCAUCCUGAGUAUUCCAUUUCAACAGCAAGUUAUACAUUCUUGAUAAAUUUUUAGUUUUGGGUUCUAACAAUUCUGUUUCUAAUUUUGACUUUUCCACUUGGAAGCCUAUUUUCUUAUCCAAAUUAUAUGCCUCCAUUAUCUGAUAGUAGUGGAGCCAAUCUCUCACUUUAUUUUUAAUUUUUCAAAACUCUGCAAUCUCAAUUUAUCUCCUUCUUGCUCCAAAAUUUCCCAAUAUGUCGGCCAUUUGGCCUCCAUAUUGAGCCUUUUCAGAGCUUUUGCUUCCAUUGGUGAUAGCCACCUUGGGGUUUUAUUUUCCAAUAAGUCUUUGUAUCUUAUCCAAACAUUAAACAAUGCCUUCCUAACAAUAUGGUUUUUGAAUGCUUUGUGUGCUUUGACCUUAUCAUACCAUAAAUAUGCAUGCCAUCCAAAUACAUUGUUAAAACCUUCUAGAUCCAAAAUGUCUGUGUUUUCAAGAAGUAGCCAUUCUUUCAGCCAGCAAAAAGCUGCUGAUUCAUAAUAAAGUUUAAAGUUUAAAUUUAAAACUAUGCAAUCAGCUUAAUUCAACCUCUAUAAGAAGCUGAUCUGAAAGACAUUUGCUUUGUGCCUUUGACAGCAGCUUAUUCUGUGACAUCAGCAGGUGAAGCUCCUUGUGGUGUGAAGAGAAACAUUGACACCUCAUAAUGUCCACUGAUCAAGCUGCUCUUUAAAGCACAUAUAUGAAAAGCCGUAAGUGAUGGUACAAAAUGGUAACUUUAACUGACAAGCAGGUGAUGCUGGACUCUGAAUUUUUCCUCCUAAGAGCAGCUGGGAGGAGCUGCAAUCCACAGCAGGAAAAUGACUCAGGAGGAGGAGAUAUGUGCUGCCCUUUCUUCAGAAAUGCUGCCUGAUCCAAUCUAAACAUUAAUAUAACUUCUCCAUAGUGGCUGCUGAGACUGAGACAACAAGGGAGAUUAUUGUACUAUUGUUAAUCAAUGAUAUAAAUAAUUUAUUAAUGAUACAAACCCCUCUUAGUUAUUCCUCUCAUCACCCACUCAUAAACACCCUCUCAGUGUUCCAUGCAUGCUAUAUUCUACACGUAUUAUGUCUUAUUAAUUUUAUAGCAAAAUCACUCUAAAAUCUCCUAACCAACCUGUGCAAAACGUAGGCCCAAACUACAGACUCCAUUCUCUGACAGCAUGCAGGGAAAUCAGGUGGCUGCUGUGCAAAUUGAUGCCCAGGGCUCCAUACUAUCCUCCACUGCAGUGCUGUGCUCAUUUGACAGAGGGAAAUGACGGAAGUUGCAAGGGUGUCUGUGCAGGGAUCCUAAGCACUAAGUGAGCAAAGAUGUGUGGGAUAGAAGUUAAGAUGGGUGCCUUGACUUAACAGCGUCAUCCUUGGCAUAUAGUGCAUAGCACACACACACACAGCACUCACAAGAAUCAGAUAUACCCACAUUUCCAAAGAAUUGUGUAUAUCCAAUUAUUAGGGCAGGUGGGAACCUGGAACAAUAAGAAUAAUUUUUUUCUUCUCACACAGGGCUCUGGGGUUUGGUGAACAAUGCAGCCAUUGCUGCCCCAUCAGCUCCCAGUGAGUGGCUGACCAAAGAUGGCGUUGCAAGGAUGAUCGGUGUCAACUUUCUUGGGAUGAUUGACAUGACGCUACACAUGCUGCCCCUGGUGAGAAAAGCCAGAGGGAGGGUGGUCAACAUGUCCAGUAUGGCGGGACGACGGGCAUGCUUUGGAGUACCCUAUACCGCAUCCAAGUACAGCGUGGAAGCCUUCUCUGACAUCCUGAGGUAAACAUGAUAGUUCUGUAUCUUCCUCUUUCUCCUUGCUUUAGUGGGAUGUCUGCUUCUCCAGCUAAGUUUCAAGCAGAGGACAGCAAUGAAUAAAGAGCAGGUGCUGGGACAUGUGGACUGCACCAGAGACUUACCAAGUAAUCAGCAGGGGUUUGCACACCUAAGUCAGCUCUUUUUCUUGAGGAAACAAUUUAAUGUACCAACAAGAGUUGUAAGCACCAACCUCCUGGUGGCUGCCUCUGAAUAUGCCUGAUGCCGGGUCAUAGACAAUGCCCUGGUGCCUCAAGACAGAAGAAGACAGGAAGCUGCAUUUCACCACAUCUCCCUCUCUCCCUUCUUUCUUCUUCUUCUUCUUCUUCUUCCUCUGCUUGUUCUUCUUCUUCUUCUUCAAGGAAAGAUGUUCUAUUCCAUGGAAGCCAAAUCAUGAUCUUCCGUAUUAUUCUGGUUCAGUAACAAGACGUGUUUCUUUAUUUUUCCUCCUCAAUUCAGGCGAGAGAUGCAUCCUUUCGGGGUCCGAGUCAGCAUUAUUGAACCCGGUUUUUUCAAAACACCCAUUCAGUCAAACAUGAUAGAGAGCUACAAGAAUGCAUGGAGCCAAGCCCCUUCUGACAUCAAGGAAGCCUAUGGGCAGUGCUACUUUGAGCGCAGUGAGUAGAAAUGGGCGGGGGGAAGAAUUCAGUUUGGUUUGCAAUGUGCGAAAGCCUGCAUUUAAAGCAUGUGCUAAUAAGUCCCACUGUUGCAGUGGAACACACACACACACACACACACAGAGAGAGAGAGAGAGAGAGAGAGAGAGAGACUGACCCUGAGACCCACCAGGCUAAAUUGCUGGUUUCCAAAUCCCACCCAUCAGUAAGAUGUUGUUAUGAUUCCCAAGCUUUUUGACUACAUUCCCCCUCCAAUGGACACACUGACACAUGUGUGUGUGUGUGUAAUCUCCCCCCUCCCCCCCUUUAAAAACAUACAAGGCUAAAUUUUGUACACUGUACUGGCCAAUAUCCUAAAAAAAAUUUUUUACCAUUUACCCUUUCAGUGACUGAGGUUGAUGGAGAUGGGGGGGCAUGAAGUCUAUUUACAGUGCUCAUUAUAUUUAGGAGUGGGGGCAGAACCUAGCUAAUGUGACACGUUCAGGUCUGUAUCUGGAGAGAUAUGAAAUCGCACCCAUUCCUAUCCUGUCGUUUGAUCUUUGAUUCAAUUUGGCAUACAGUGGUGCCCCGCAAGACGAAUGCCUCGGAAGACGAAAAACUCGCAAGACGAAAGGGUUUUGCGGUUUUUGAGGUGCUCGUAAGACGAAUUUCUCUAUGGGCUUGCUUCGCAAGACGGAACGUCUUGCAAGUUUGUUUCCUUUUGAAGUGGGAACUGGGCUGGCAGGGAGCGAGCAGGGGAGCGGCCUACCUUUCCCAGAGGGAUCCUCUUCUGGAGAGGGCACAGAGGAGGCAGGUGAGCUGGGAUCCAGCGGAUCUGGCUGGGUCUCUGUGCCGCCUCUGCCUCUGCCUCUCUCUCUCUCCCCCUCCCCACGUGGCUGCUCCAUUUUGCUCUAACUGCGCGAAGGCAGGAGGAGGCGGGACAAAGGAGGAGGAGGAGGAGGCAUCCACUGUGCUUGGGCGGCCGCAAAGGCGCCUUUGCGGGGGUGGGAAGAAGCCGGGAGCAGCUGCCAAGACUGUGGGGAGCCCGGCGGCGUGGCGCAAGGUAACGGGGGGAGCAAGGGAGAGUCCGCGCCGGGCGCUUCGUGCGUCCGCCCUCGGUUCCUGGGCUCAAACUUCCUUUGGCACCUCAUGGAGAGAGAGGGAGAGGAGCGGGCUGGGGCUUUGAUGUGGGACGCGGUUUGGCGGAGCGAAGACGCGGCAAGGCUUGGCGACAGAGGAACGGGGGCUGUUUUCAUGGGGAGGUGGGAGGGGGUGUCUUUGCCUCUUCCCGGCAACAGAUCCUCCAGGCUGGGGAAACUCCUCCUGCUGGGGAGCGACCCGCUUUGUGCUUUGCCCGCUAUCCCAUUAUAAUACAGUACCAGGGUGCAUCCGUGCUUCGCAAGACGAAAAAAUCCGCAAGACGAAGAAACUCGCAGAACGGAUUAAUUUCGUCUUGCGAGGCACCACUGUAUAUGAUACAUAAGGAGACACAUAGAAGGGAGAGAGAGAGAUGGCCCUAGUGGGACCAACUCAGCCCAACACUGCGCUUGUGGAGCAAAGGACCUUGGGCGGGUGGGGCCAGCAGGGUGCUGCUCUGGGCUCCUUGUUUACUGCACGGAAAGGGAAGCACAAUCAGUUGUGGGAGAUGGAGAGGAGACACAAAGAGACAGUUAUGAGGAGAUUUCACCCCUCCCAUAUCCAAGAAUCUCCUGAGGAGUCUGCUGAUUCUCCAGAGAGGAGGAAGCGUGUUCUGCUCUCUACUUAUUUUGCUCCAGCACCAAAUCAGUCAGUCAGUCAGUGUCGGAGACUGAGUGUUAGAGAUCGUGUGUAGAGAUAAGGUUGCUGCUAAGAGCAGCUGCAGACACUCAGUGCGGUGCAGCAUUCAUUUAUGCUUAGACCUAUUUAGCUCUGUAUAUAGUUUGUAUAGUUGUAGAUAGAAUAAAAGAAGAUAUUCUACAGAGCUGCUCUCCGAGUUGUUUAUAUACUCUGCUAGAGUCUGCUGUACUCUGCUUUGCGACGACUGUCUUCUUGUUGGAGUGGAUCCGGUGCUCACAACUCUAAGCUGUGAGUCCACAGCACUUUGACCUGUUCCUGUGCAGAAGGUUUUCUCUGGAAGUGCUACCCAGCUCGCCUAGCCCAGUCGGGGCUGAAGUGGAUGAGUCCAGUUGGUGGCACUGGCUCAAGGGCGAUGCUGACAAGUUAUACACACAUAAGCACACACACGGUCGUGUCCAGCGGAGAAAAGGGAAGAGAUUACCAAGGGGGGGGGAGAGAGAGGGAGAGAGGCGCACAGACACCCACACCAAAACAGCACCCGCUACCCGCUUGAUCCUGGGAGGCAGCUCUAAGAAAGGAGACCAGUUAAUGCUUUUUUAAAAAGCCGCAGAGAGGGAGAGGAGCUGGGCUGCCCCAGUGGCAGAGCUUCAUGGUCCGGCACAGAGGGGGGAGGCGGAGAGCAGGUGGGGGCAGGCUGGGGCAGGGCGUGUGUCCUGGGGGUGUGGCGGGGGGGAGCAGCCGCGAUGGCACCCCACCGGGAUCGCGCUACUUCUUCCUCUGCUAGUGGGUUGCGCGGGCCUGAACCCGGCAUAUGGCAACCCUUACCUAGAUACAACCAUUGAGCCCCACUUACUGACUGAAAUACAUAUUGACACUGUCUAAUCACCUAUUGCUAAAGGUUUUUAAUUCUGGUGCUGGAGGAGACUCUUGAGAGUCCCAUGGACCGCAAGAAGAUCAAACCUCUCCAUUCUGAAGGAAGUCAGCCCUGAGUGCUCACUGGAAGGACAGAUCCUGAAGCUGAGGCUCCAAUAUUUUGGCCACCUCAUGAGAAGAGAAGACUCCCUGGAAAAGACCCUGAUGUUGGGAAAGAUGGAGGGCACAAGGAGAAGGGGAUUACAGAGGAUGAGAUGGUUGGACAGUGUUCUCAAAGCUAGCAACAUGAGUUUCACCAAACUGCGGGAGGCAGUGGAAGACAGGAGUGCCUGGCGUGCUCUGGUCCAUGGGGCCACGAAGAGUCGGACACGACUAAACAACAACAAUCAGCUGCUGCUAAAGGUUCUGUCUUAAAGCAACAGAAUAUGUUCCCGAUGCCCCUCCUUAGAUUUAGACCUCCUAGGCAGAGAAAUCCAGAAGCUAACAUAUCCUUUCAGAACCCAAAAUAUUUAGGUUAUCUCCUGUGAAGUUAUAGGGCAGCAUACAAAUUAAAUAAAUAAAUAAAUGCAGAAAUAAAUGCAUAUAUAAUUUUGUACCACUAGCUUUUCUCUUGUUUCCUAUAUCACAGGUCUCAAAUUAUUGAAAUUCUUCUCCUUCACCGGCAGCAGCAACUUUCAACCGGUCACGGACUCUAUAGAACAUGCCCUGACCUCCUGCUCCCCUCGCAUCCGUUACUGUCCAGGAUGGGAUGCCAAACUCUUAUACGUUCCUCUGUCUUACUUGCCAGCCUCCAUUUUUGACUUCCUGUGGAGAUGCAUUUGGCCCAAACCAGCACAAGCCGUGUAGAAUAUUCUGAAGAAACAUGUCAGUUCUCCAAAUGAACCAAGGAAGUCUUUGCACUAUUAACGAUGUUCCGUUGUUUCUCUUUUCUGAAGUUCUAAACCAGUGGUUCUGAUACUUUUCUUCCCACGGACCACUUGAGAAUUGCUGAAGGUCUUGCAGGACCAUGGUAGGGUGCUCAGGGAU